GAUGAACGCUAGCGGCAGGCUUAAUACAUGCAAGUCGAGGGGCAGCAGGGGUAGCAAUACUCGCUGGCGACCGGCAAACGGGUGCGGAACACGUACGCAACCUUCCCAAAACUGGUGAAUAGCCCUCCGAAAGGAGGAUUAAUACACCGUAACAUAAUGAAGUGGCAUCACUUUAUUAUUAUAGCUCCGGCGGUUUUGGAUGGGCGUGCGCCUGAUUAGGUAGUUGGCGGGGUAACGGCCCACCAAGCCUGCGAUCAGUAACUGGUGUGAGAGCACGACCAGUCACACGGGCACUGAGACACGGGCCCGACUCCUACGGGAGGCAGCAGUAAGGAAUAUUGGUCAAUGGACGCAAGUCUGAACCAGCCAUGCCGCGUGAAGGA
Molecule: ribosomal RNA, 383 nt
Filed under: uncultured bacterium
Lineage: Bacteria
Description: bacterial SSU rRNA
Rfam family: Bacterial small subunit ribosomal RNA
Source: RNAcentral